Molecule: ribosomal RNA, 1386 nt
Filed under: Pichia kudriavzevii
Lineage: Eukaryota; Fungi; Ascomycota; Pichiomycetes; Pichiales; Pichiaceae
Description: SSU rRNA
Rfam family: Eukaryotic small subunit ribosomal RNA
Source: RNAcentral
AUUCCGGAGAGGGAGCCUGAGAAACGGCUACCACAUCCAAGGAAGGCAGCAGGCGCGCAAAUUACCCAAUCCUGACACAGGGAGGUAGUGACAAUAUAUAACGAUACAGGGCCUUUGGUCUUGUAAUUGGAAUGAGUACAAUGUAAAUACCUUAACGAGGAACAAUUGGAGGGCAAGUCUGGUGCCAGCAGCCGCGGUAAUUCCAGCUCCAAUAGCGUAUAUUAAAGUUGUUGCAGUUAAAAAGCUCGUAGUUGAACUUUGGGCCUGGGCGGACGGUCUACCUAUGGUAAGCACUGUUGCGGCCGGGUCUUUCCUUCUGGCUAGCCCUCGGGCGAACCAGGACGAUUACUUUGAGGAAAUUAGAGUGUUCAAAGCAGGCCUUUGCUCGGAUAUAUUAGCAUGGAAUAAUAGAAUAGGACGCAUGGUUCUAUUUUGUUGGUUUCUAGGACCAUCGUAAUGAUUAAUAGGGACGGUCGGGGGCAUCAGUAUUCAGUCGUCAGAGGUGAAAUUCUUGGAUUGACUGAAGACUAACUACUGCGAAAGCAUUUGCCAAGGACGUUUUCAUUAAUCAAGAACGAAAGUUAGGGGAUCGAAGAUGAUCAGAUACCGUCGUAGUCUUAACCAUAAACUAUGCCGACUAGGGAUCGGGUGGUGCUACUUUGCCCACUCGGCACCUUACGAGAAAUCAAAGUUUUUGGGUUCUGGGGGGAGUAUGGUCGCAAGGCUGAAACUUAAAGGAAUUGACGGAAGGGCACCACCAGGAGUGGAGCCUGCGGCUUAAUUUGACUCAACACGGGGAAACUCACCAGGUCCAGACGUAAUAAGGAUUGACAAGUUAGAGACUUCUCUUGAUCUUACGGGUGGUGGUGCAUGGCCGUUUUUAGUCCUUGGAGUGAUUUGUCUGCUUAAUUGCGAUAACGGACGAGACCUUAACCUGCUAAAUAGGGCUGCGAGCAUCUGCUCGGGUGCUCUUCUUAGAGGGACUAUGGGUAUCAAACCCAUGGAAGUUUGAGGCAACAACAGGUCUGUGAUGCCCUUAGACGUUCUGGGCCGCACGCGCGCUACACUGACGGAGCCAGCAAGUCCAACCUUGGUCGAGAGGCCCGGGUAAUCUCGUGAAACUCCGUCGUGCUGGGGAUAGAGCAUUGUAAUUUUUGCUCUUCAACGAGGAAUUCCUAGUAAGCGCAAGUCAUCAGCUUGCGUUGAUUACGUCCCUGCCCUUUGUACACACCGCCCGUCGCUACUACCGAUUGAAUGGCUUAGUGAGGCUUCAAGAUUGGCGCCGCGGGAGGGGCAACUUUCCCAUGGGGCCGAGAAUCUAGUCAAACUUGGUCAUUUAGAGGUCGUAAAAGUCGUAACAAGUUUCCGUAUUUUUUUUNNNNNNNN